GAACGUAGCGAAAUGCGAUACUUGGUGUGAAUUGCAGAAUCCCGUGAACCAUCGAGUCUUUGAACGCAAGUUGCACCCGAUGCCUUCAGGCGGAGGGCACGUCUGUUUGGGCGUCACGCAUCUCGUCAACGCCUCCUGUGUCGUUCUCUUCCCCACUCGUGG
Molecule: ribosomal RNA, 162 nt
Filed under: Primulina petrocosmeoides
Lineage: Eukaryota; Viridiplantae; Streptophyta; Magnoliopsida; Lamiales; Gesneriaceae
Description: 5.8S ribosomal RNA
Rfam family: 5.8S ribosomal RNA (bases 1-116)
About the family: 5.8S ribosomal RNA (5.8S rRNA) is a component of the large subunit of the eukaryotic ribosome. It is transcribed by RNA polymerase I as part of the 45S precursor that also contains 18S and 28S rRNA.
Source: RNAcentral